AUUGAACGCUGGCGGUAUGCUUAACACAUGCAAGUCGAACGGUAACAGGCCUUCGGGCGCUGACGAGUGGCGGACGGUGAGUAACGCGUAGGAAUCUGCCUCAUAGUGGGGACAACGUGGGGAAACUCACGCUAAUACCGCAUACGCCUACGGGGAAAGCGGGGAGUCUUCGGACCUCGCGCUAUGAGAUGAGCCUGCGUUAGAUUAGCUAGUUGGUAGGGUAAAGGCCUACCAAGGCGACGAUCUAUAGCUGGUCUGAGAGGACGAUCAGCCACACUGGGACUGAGACACGGCCCAGACUCCUACGGGAGGCAGCAGUGGGGAAUAUUGGACAAUGGGCGCAAGCCUGAUCCAGCAAUACCGCGUGUGUGAAGAAGGCCUUAGGGUUGUAAAGCACUUUCAAUUGGGAGGAAAACCUGCCGGUCAAUAACCCGGUAGCUUGACAUUACCUUUAGAAGAAGCACCGGCUAACUCCGUGCCAGCAGCCGCGGUAA
RNAcentral lists this ribosomal RNA (494 nucleotides) under uncultured bacterium. RNAcentral describes it as "bacterial SSU rRNA". It matches the Rfam family "Bacterial small subunit ribosomal RNA", at positions 30 to 523 of the family's 1533-position model. The record is from RNAcentral.